GUCUAGUGCAGUUUUGCAUUGUUCAUGUUCAACGUAUGACCGUUCAUCCUAUUUAAAAAUUUUUAUGAUUAAUAUUUUUUUAUUAUUAGAUGAUAAAACAUGAACAUUAUUUUAUGCGUGACUAAUUUUAUAUUUUUUUUUAUAAAUUUUUCAAAUAAGACGGACAGUCAAACAUUAGAAAUGGAUACCCAGGGCUGCAUUUAUU
Oryza sativa Japonica Group (Japanese rice) is the source of this 205-nucleotide microRNA precursor. It matches the Rfam family "MIR812 microRNA precursor family". NCBI's taxonomy places the organism in Eukaryota, Viridiplantae, Streptophyta, Magnoliopsida, Poales, Poaceae. The record is from Rfam.